UGCCACGAAAUAUUUCACCUGGAUGGA
This 27-nucleotide non-coding RNA is filed under the name Mus musculus (house mouse). Lineage: Eukaryota; Metazoa; Chordata; Mammalia; Rodentia; Muridae. The record is from RNAcentral.